RNAcentral lists this ribosomal RNA (229 nucleotides) under Capreolus capreolus (Western roe deer). Its description in RNAcentral is "partial 12S ribosomal RNA". Lineage: Eukaryota; Metazoa; Chordata; Mammalia; Artiodactyla; Cervidae. The record is from RNAcentral.
AGCCAUAUUAAUUAGGGUUGGUAAAUCUCGUGCCAGCCACCGCGGUCAUACGAUUAACCCAAGUUAAUAGGCACACGGCGUAAAGCGUGUUAAAGCAUUCUAUAAAAUAAGGUUCAAUCCUAAUUAAGCUGUAAAAAGCCAUAAUUACAAUGAAAAUAGAUAACGAAAGUAACUUUAAAAUAGCUGAAACACGAUAGCUAAGACCCAAACUGGGAUUAGAUACCCCACU